Molecule: long non-coding RNA, 290 nt
Filed under: Nicotiana benthamiana
Lineage: Eukaryota; Viridiplantae; Streptophyta; Magnoliopsida; Solanales; Solanaceae
Description: long non-coding RNA (NBEN_LNC029635)
Source: RNAcentral
UAGGAUUUCUCCCAAAAGUAAGUAGGAGUGCUCUUCCUUUCAAGCCUUCUGCCUUACAGUCUAUAGACCUUACCUCACUAAUCUUUUAUUUUCUCUCGGGAUUUUGUUUGAGUUGCUGUCUCAGUAGUUGCAUUCCCUCUAGUCCCCUUGAAAGAGGAAAAGGGCCUAAGCCUGUUUAGUUCCAUCUCCUUGAGUUUCAAUUGGAAUGCUAGGGGUUUACGUCCUAGGGUAAGUCCCAAAGUCCUAAGUUCUUCCUUUCAAUCCAAGUCGAGGUAAUAGUUUCUAUGGUA